GAUGAACGCUGGCGGCGUGCCUAAUACAUGCAAGUCGAGCGAACAGACGAGGAGCUUGCUCCUCUGACGUUAGCGGCGGACGGGUGAGUAACACGUGUAUAACCUACCUAUAAGACUGGGAUAACUUCGGGAAACCGGAGCUAAUACCGGAUAAUAUAUUGAACCGCAUGGUUCAAUAGUGAAAGACGGUUUUGCUGUCACUUAUAGAUGGAUCCGCGCCGCAUUAGCUAGUUGGUAAGGUAACGGCUUACCAAGGCAACGAUGCGUAGCCGACCUGAGAGGGUGAUCGGCCACACUGGAACUGAGACGCGGUCCAGACUCCUACGGGAGGCAGCAGUAGGGAAUCUUCCGCAAUGGGCGAAAGCCUGACGGAGCAACGCCGCGUGAGUGAUGAAGGUCUUCGGAUCGUAAAACUCUGUUAUUAGGGAAGAACAAAUGUGUAAGUAACUAUGCACGUCUUGACGGUACCUAAUCAGAAAGCCACGGCUAACUACGUG
Molecule: ribosomal RNA, 497 nt
Filed under: uncultured bacterium
Lineage: Bacteria
Description: partial 16S ribosomal RNA
Rfam family: Bacterial small subunit ribosomal RNA
Source: RNAcentral